Molecule: long non-coding RNA, 252 nt
Filed under: Elaeis guineensis (African oil palm)
Lineage: Eukaryota; Viridiplantae; Streptophyta; Magnoliopsida; Arecales; Arecaceae
Description: long non-coding RNA (EGUI_LNC073183)
Source: RNAcentral
UUGGUUUCAUCUGAACAUGAUCUUCCAUGGCAUCAGAGUUAGUUGGUAUAGCUUCUGCUUUUUUCACACGGCUUUGAGAGUGGGUGGCAUCCAUGUAGGUUUCAGUUUAAUCUUCAAUCUACUUGCAUUGGUUUAGCAAUGCAUAAAUAUGUCUCAAAGCCACAUUUUUAUUACACAUCAAUAAAACAUGACCAGAGUAGGAGGGGUGAGUGUGGGCUUUCACAGUAUCAGCAGCGACUGAGCUUUCAAAGG